GAGCGCAGCAGCCACCGGCCUCCCGUCAUCGACUGAAAUCCGAGCGACGAGCGGGGGCUGGGGCUCGGGAAGGACAUGUGGUCCCGGAACCGGCGCUUCGGGUCGGGGUGUGAGCGCUCGGACCCCCCUUCAGCUCGGCCUCCCGCAGGUCAGGGACCCGCCCUGGCGCCUCCCUCUGCCACCUGCUCGGCCAGGACCUUUGGUCAGCACAGCGGCCGGCCGUGUUCCCGCCGCCGCUGAGGGACUGAGUGCGGGAGAGGCUGCGUCCAGAGCAGGAGGGACUCGCCCGAGGCCUGGAGAAGCUCCCGCCGCCGUGGGGUUUCCGCGACCGGAGCACCUGGGAGCCCGGCGGUGCUCAUCUUGGGAAGAGGUUUAUUCACACCCGGAGCUACCUGGGAUCCUUUAUUUCUAAACGCCUUUGAGUUAUUUCCCAUCAGCAGCAGUGACGUGGGUUCGAAUUAGCUGCUAAGGAGCCGGGCCUCGGGCGGCCUUCCCGUGUCCCCAGCUCGGCCUUCCCGUGUCCCCGGCGCAGUCUCCGCGUGACUCAGGCUCCCUGCUCUCCAAAGGGCAAGCCACUUCCCAUUCUGCUUCGAUCGCUGCUGCUCUCAUCACUGGACGUUAUGGGACAGUCCGGCCGGGCGAGGACCAGGCCACCUGAGAAGCCAGGAGCCUCGGCCAAGCCUGGCAGACAGCACCCGGGACCACGUGAGGUCCAGGGCGAGGAGACGAAAGAUGGGGCUGCCAAGGUUUUACUUAAUCCGCCAGGCCUGUGACUAGAGAGCACCAUUCCUC
Long non-coding RNA from Myotis brandtii (Brandt's bat), 792 nucleotides. RefSeq lists it as uncharacterized. The record is from RefSeq and is a predicted model, not a curated record. The transcript is spliced from 3 exons. NCBI's taxonomy places the organism in Eukaryota, Metazoa, Chordata, Mammalia, Chiroptera, Vespertilionidae.